GUCACAAGUACCAAAAGAGGUUCCUGUUGGCUAAUCCUAUUGACAAUAAACAGACUUAAUGGUUGUUUAAGCACAUCAGACUCCUUACCCUUUGAAUAAACAGAAACCAGAUGUAACUUUAGGUCAAAACCCAUUAAAAUGAAGCUCCACUUCUGUAAGCCCCACCAAUACCCUGCUGACAAUGGAUCGGUAAAGGUCAUGGGUUUCUCCCAGUGACGCACCUUCCUGCAUGGUUUCAAGACAUGCUAUGCCUCAGUUCACCGGAUUCCUGCCAGGAUCUGGUUCCAUCCACCAAGGCCUCUGCUCUGCAAUCUCCUCUCAUCUCAGCAUCUGUGUGAAAAGAAGAAUUAGGGAGCCUUACUACUUACUACUCAAGUUCCUAAGUAUAAUUUGUCAGAAAUAUGGGGUGUACAACUUCCUUGUAGCUCACGUGGACUUUAUAAAUGCUUUCCUGCUACUGAAGAGGAUUGAUAAAAAGCUGCUCUACUUUCAAAGUUUGGUCUCCUUUUGUAAUUCAGAUUCUUCUAGGGCUCUGCUUUGGACUCUGCAGUUUGAAUGAUUUGAAGAUGUUAUCUCCAGUUCUAUCCUAAAUAAACUGAUUACUAAAGGCCCCA
Molecule: long non-coding RNA, 614 nt
Filed under: Vombatus ursinus (common wombat)
Lineage: Eukaryota; Metazoa; Chordata; Mammalia; Diprotodontia; Vombatidae
Description: lncRNA (ENSVURG00010007829.1)
Source: RNAcentral